GGGGGGCCGGAGGAAGAGUCUUUAGGAGUCGGCUGUGGGGAGCGAGAGCUCCUGGUGCCACGGCUCUCGACCAGGUCAAUGAGUGGUCAUUGAAGAUAAGAAAGGAAAUGAGAGUUGUUGACAGGCAAAUAAGGGAUAUCCAAAGAGAAGAAGAAAAAGUGAAACGAUCAGUGAAAGAUGCUGCCAAGAAGGGCCAGAAGGAUGUCUGUGUAGUUCUGGCCAAGGAGAUGAUCAGGUCAAGGAAGGCUGUGAGCAAGCUGUAUGCAUCCAAAGCGCACAUGAACUCAGUGCUCAUGGGGAUGAAGAACCAGCUCGCGGUCUUGCGAGUGGCUGGUUCCCUGCAAAAGAGCACAGAAGUGAUGAAGGCCAUGCAAAGUCUUGUGAAGAUUCCAGAGAUUCAGGCCACCAUGAGGGAGUUGUCCAAAGAAAUGAUGAAGGCUGGGAUCAUAGAGGAGAUGUUAGAGGACACUUUUGAAAGCAUGGACGAUCAGGAAGAAAUGGAGGAAGAAGCAGAAAUGGAAAUUGACAGAAUUCUGUUUGAAAUUACAGCAGGGGCCUUGGGCAAAGCACCCAGUAAAGUGACCGAUGCCCUUCCAGAGCCAGAACCUUCAGGAGCGAUGGCUGCCUCAGAGGAUGAGGAGGAGGAGGAGGAGGCUCUGGAGGCCAUGCAGUCCCGGCUGGCCACACUCCGCAGCUAGGGGCUGCCUACCCCACUGGGUGUGCACAC
RNAcentral lists this small RNA (727 nucleotides) under Pongo abelii (Sumatran orangutan). Its description in RNAcentral is "processed transcript". The record is from RNAcentral. Lineage: Eukaryota; Metazoa; Chordata; Mammalia; Primates; Hominidae.